This is a long non-coding RNA of Bactrocera oleae (olive fruit fly), 604 nucleotides long. RefSeq lists it as uncharacterized. The record is from RefSeq and is a predicted model, not a curated record. Lineage: Eukaryota; Metazoa; Arthropoda; Insecta; Diptera; Tephritidae.
UCAAAACUACUCAAUUCAGUUUUUACUCAUAAAAAGAUGAAUAGAUAUUAAAAUUGACAUUAGUUUUCAUUUAUAUUACAAUGACAAAAAUAUUGGCCGAAACUGAUUUGCUGCGCAUAGGAAAAAACCACCAUGAUCACUCAAGUCCAUUGAAACUUCCCAACACCAAAUGAAGGAAUAUUACCACAAACUCUCCGUUUUCUUGCCGCCGGUAAUUAUCAAAGAUGCAUUUUAAAUGAUUUUAGCUUUGAACUGGAGCAACCUAAGAUAGCUAUAGUUGCUAAAAAACCUGCUUUUAAAUAUUAUAAACAGUGAAUUGGUGCGCUGUGGAUAAAAAACAAAUGACUGAAGAGGAGCGAAACGUAUCAAAAAUUUGAUUUUACUUAAAGAGUACUAUAUUCUUAAUACCACAAAAAAGUUGAAGUUUGACAACACUUCAAACGAUUUUUUUUUACUGAUUGAGUUGAUAUCGUUAAUUCCAAAUGCAGUUGAGUUGAAAAUCGUAAUAGGAGCCUAAAUUUAAUUGGCCUCUAAGGUUUAUUUGUAUGUACAAAUUUUUCCAAAUGCGAAUUGAAAUAAAAGCCAAUGGUUUGAUAAUAAUAAA